Long non-coding RNA from Mangifera indica (mango), 350 nucleotides. RefSeq lists it as uncharacterized. Lineage: Eukaryota; Viridiplantae; Streptophyta; Magnoliopsida; Sapindales; Anacardiaceae. The transcript is spliced from 3 exons. The record is from RefSeq and is a predicted model, not a curated record.
GGAGUUGAUCCAAAUGAUCCUUCAAUGAAAGAUCUGAUUGCAUCUCUGCAAGGCCAGCCUGAGAAGAAAGAUAAAGAUCAGCCACCAAAUGCUGAUAAGUGAACUUGCCCAUCGUGCUUUGAAUCUAGUGAAUGGAUACGUUUUCAAAGGCAAACCAAUAAUCAUCCAGUUUGGGUGGAAUCCUGCUUCUUCAAAAGCAAAUUAAUCGAACAUUUCCGCAUGAUUCAUGAACAGGAGGAAGCUCUUUAUGCUGCCCUGUCAUCGUUGGUUCUAUAUUAACUAUUCAUUCUCAUAUUCCUAAUAAAGCUGGACUUCAAAUCCAUCAAACUUUGGUUUUUUUAAGUUUCUUA